UGAACGCUGGCGGCGUGCUUAACACAUGCAAGUCGAACGAGAAAGGGAUUGCUUGCAGUCCUGAGUAGAGUGGCGCACGGGUGAGUAACACGUAGAUAAUCUACCUUCAAGCCUGGAAUAACUAUUCGAAAGGAUAGCUAAUACCGGAUGAAGUUGUUCAACUCAAGUUGAAUUAUGAAAGAUUGCCUCUUCUUGAAAGCAAUUGUUUGGAGAUGAGUUUGCGGACCAUUAGUUUGUUGGUGGGGUAAAGGCCUACCAAGACUACGAUGGUUAGCUGGUCUGAGAGGAUGAUCAGCCACACUGGAACUGGUACACGGUCCAGACUCCUACGGGAGGCAGCAGUGAGGAAUUUUGCGCAAUGGGGGAAACCCUGACGCAGCAACGCCGCGUGAGUGAAGAAGGCCCUUGGGUCGUAAAGCUCUGUCGACAGGGAAGAAAUUGUUUCAUAUUAAUAGUAUGUCGCAUUGACGGUACCUGUAGAGGAAGCACCGGCUAACUCC
RNAcentral lists this ribosomal RNA (500 nucleotides) under uncultured bacterium. RNAcentral describes it as "bacterial SSU rRNA". It matches the Rfam family "Bacterial small subunit ribosomal RNA", at positions 30 to 504 of the family's 1533-position model. The record is from RNAcentral.